AGACUUCAUGCUGCCCAUUAACUUUUGGAAGCUACCAAAGUGGAGUCAGUAAAGGCAUAAAUUAAACUCUUUGCCUUCACUUUCUGCCCUUGAAUUGAAGUGUAGAAGCCACAUAAGGUACAGUG
This 125-nucleotide small nucleolar RNA is filed under the name Procavia capensis (Cape rock hyrax). Its description in RNAcentral is "Small nucleolar RNA SNORA13 (ENSPCAG00000020380.1)". The record is from RNAcentral. Lineage: Eukaryota; Metazoa; Chordata; Mammalia; Hyracoidea; Procaviidae.